CUGCGUGUGGUCUGAAAGAGAACAAGGUGCAACUCGCCGGCUUGUGCUCGUGCAGUACGUCGUGCCGGUGUGUACAGCUCACCUCUGCUCCCCUCCCGUGUUGUUCUCCAUUGAUGCAGUGCACGUUGCCUCCCAACGCAGGUCGUAUUGGUCGUCGGUGCAGUCCGCAAACAUGCCGUUUGUGGUGGUGAUCUACUCCACCAUUCGCGCCCGACCAUCACAGCAACCCUCUUCCCUUGGCUCCCUCCUUCCCUACUCUGCAAACUCCCUCCUCCCAGCAACACUACCCUCUUUCUAGUGAAGGGCAUGCUUCUGAGGCCACAGUGGGUCUCCGUCGUGCUCCCUUCCCCUGGUUCUGGUGCUCGAGUGGAAAAUUGCUAUUUUUUCUCUCGCAGUUCGGUUCACAGACUGCUUGUGGUUCAUUUUGUUGUUAUUUUGUGUAGGAGACAAGGACUGCAACAAAAACUUAAGCACUCCCCUGGCUACGACGCGGCUGCCGGAUGCCCCCAUGUCCUGCUUUUCCCCUGCCAAAUCCACUCCGCUUCCCCUGAUAUGAUGUAUGUCCAGUUUAGUUCGCGUGUGCAAGGUUCUACACUACAUCGAGCUCCCAGGAUACCAAAUUGCAAUUCACUUUUAGAUUCAGAAAAAGGGUGCUGUGCAAUUUUCUAGGGAACUGGAAGUUCAUAUAUUUUUUGAAAAAUUCACUGUCUCUUGGAGAGGUUCGCUCCUCACCGUUGUGGUUUACUCUGUUCCCUGUGAACCAAAACAAAAGAGACACAAAAAGAAAAUUUCCCCUGGUAGUAUGGGAGAGAGCGGUUCGCUUCUGUGGGCCUAGAGGUUCACUCCACAAAAUAUGCAGCUCAAUGUGAUGUUGUUUUAAUUCAGUUCCAUUGUUUUGCUGGAGCUUUGUUGUUGUUAAAGAAAUCCACUGUAGUCAUCAACCACAGCUCGGGAAAAACAUUAACAUUUACUAUGCAACAAAAGUUUUCUCGUUCACUUUCCUCGUGAUUCAUUGCAAAAUGUCUUUUUUAAUGCAGCUCACUAUGUUGGCAUGUGGAGUAGAAAAAAAAAUAAACAAAAAAAUGAUACAUUCCACUUACCUUGUCCUUGCAGUACAUAUUCGUCGAUAAAAAAAGUAUGCGAUAAAAAAAGCAAAACUAAGAUGCAAAAUUAUGCAAUCCACUCGCUCAGUCCUCGAGGUUCACUCGUCCGGUCUUUUGAAGCUCACUUUGUUCUCUCACGAAGUUCGCCAUAAAACUCCUUCGUCGUUCACUUGGUCAUAUGAAACAAAAACACCUCGGAAAACAGCUCACUUCUCAUUAGAUGUCGUUCACUUGCUCAAUCCCUGUGGUCCACUCGCCCGGUCUACGCACGUACAAAAAUAUUAAGUUUGGAAAAAGCUAAAGAGGUUCACUUUCGGUAGCGUCGCGACCCGUUUACGGUAGUCUCGAUGUUCACUUUUCAUAGUAUUGCGGUUUACCAACGCUCGAC
This 1491-nucleotide long non-coding RNA is filed under the name Triticum aestivum (bread wheat). RNAcentral describes it as "long non-coding RNA (TAES_LNC022883)". The record is from RNAcentral. Lineage: Eukaryota; Viridiplantae; Streptophyta; Magnoliopsida; Poales; Poaceae.